UGUUCUUUCCUGUUGGUGAAUCAUUCACGGUCAGCGCUCCAGUACACCUUAAUCUGGAGUUAGGUUUACCGGCCUCGAUCCCCUGUACAUUCAAACAAGCUGCAUCUCGGACUGAUAUGAAGUACCUGGCCAUACUUUGGCACUUCAAGGGAACAGAAAUUGCAAAAUUUGACAGUAAAGAAUUUAAAAAGCCCUCAGAUCCAAGACUGACUUUAAAAGAGAAUCUUAUUGAGAAAGGAGAUGUUUCUCUGUAUAUCGAUAAUGUGACUAUAGCUG
Molecule: non-coding RNA, 276 nt
Organism: Pelobates cultripes (western spadefoot toad)
Lineage: Eukaryota; Metazoa; Chordata; Amphibia; Anura; Pelobatidae
Source: the annotation of a GenBank genome assembly